RNAcentral lists this long non-coding RNA (868 nucleotides) under Homo sapiens (human). Its description in RNAcentral is "long intergenic non-protein coding RNA 1592". The record is from RNAcentral. Lineage: Eukaryota; Metazoa; Chordata; Mammalia; Primates; Hominidae.
AGGGAUGUGAGUGCAUAAAGAAAAGGCCACGUGAGGACACAGCAAGAAAGUGGUCAUCUGCAAGCGCAAAAGACAGGCCUCAGAAGAACCCAACCCUAUUGACACUAUGAUCUUGGACAUCCAGCCUCCAGAACUUGUGUCCGGAAUUGGUAGGUUCUUGGUCUCGCUGACUUCAAGAAUGAAGCCGCGGACCCUCACGUGUACUGGACAACCUAAGACAGGGAAAUAAAGAUAAAGUUUGGAUUGAAGAGUGAGGAGCCAAAAUAAUGCAGCUUCACAUCUCCUUAAUGGACAGAAGACUACACUGUUUUUGCUGCACCCAGAGAUAAAAUUAUUGGUUUUGGAGUACCUUCACUGAUGCCAGUAGAAGCAUUUGAGUUCUGCAGAAAUUACUGAAGUGGUUCAAGUGUGGGCAGUCAGGACACUCAGCCCACCAUACUCAACCCCAACUCAACCUCAACUCUCAGUACGGCAGAGAGACGGAGAACUCAGAGCUAUAACUUUCAGGAAUUCUCAAAACCUCAGACAAAAUGCAUCUUUGUUUUACCACCUGUUAAAGUAUAUCCUCAUCUGCCUCAGUGCACAUAAGUAUACAACACUGCAGAUUGUGUUUAACUUCAUUUGCAAUUAAUUUAACGCAUUUUGUAUCCAACAUUUCUACUAGGAAAUAGUAUUAGUCUAUCCCCAAACUAAAAUUCACUGCAAAAAUGUAAUUCACUCAAGAAAAAUAAUGAUAAUUCUUCAAACACCUUGAGAUGUCAUUCAACAAUCAUACCCAAUGGGUAAAAUUUAGAGUUCAACAUUUAGCUUGCAUUUCUUUCUAACCAAACAUCUCAAGUUCAAAAAAUAAAGCAGAUUGUUUUGUGCA